GACGAACGCUGGCGGCGUGCUUAACACAUGCAAGUCGAACGGACGGGCCCUGCUUUUGUGGGGUGCUCGAGUGGCGAACGGGUGAGUAACACGUGAGUAACCUGCCCUUGACAUUGGGAUAACUUCAGGGAACUGGGGCUAAUACCGGGUAGGAGCUCCUGCUGCAUGGUGGGGGUUGGAAAGUUUCGGCGGUUGGGGAUGGACUCGCGGCUUAUCCGCUUGUUGGUGGGGUAGUGGCUGACAAAGGCUUUGACGGGUAGGCGGCAUGAGAGGGUGACCGGCCACAUUGGGACUGCGAUACGGCCCAGACUCCUACGGGAGGCAGCAGUGGGGAACAUGGCAGAAUGGGCGGAAGCCUGAUGCAGAAACGCCGCGUGCGGGAUGACGGCUUUCGGGUUGUAAACCGCUUUCGCCGGUGACGAAGCGUGAGUGACGGUAAUGGGUAAAGAAGCACCGGCUAACUACGUG
RNAcentral lists this ribosomal RNA (468 nucleotides) under uncultured bacterium. RNAcentral's name for it is "partial 16S ribosomal RNA". It matches the Rfam family "Bacterial small subunit ribosomal RNA", at positions 28 to 507 of the family's 1533-position model. The record is from RNAcentral.